RNAcentral lists this unclassified non-coding RNA (1804 nucleotides) under Hevea brasiliensis (rubber tree). The record is from RNAcentral. Lineage: Eukaryota; Viridiplantae; Streptophyta; Magnoliopsida; Malpighiales; Euphorbiaceae.
GAGAUCUCUUGGAGUUGCAUUUCAGGAAGUACCUGAAAAGACUAAGGACAGUCCUGGAGGUCCUUGGACAUUUUGUGGGUUGUUGCCCUUGUUUGAUCCUCCUAGACAUGUGCUGAGACCAUCCGUAGAGCACUUAACCUUGGAGUCGGUGUUAAGAUGAUUACAGGUGAUCAGCUGGCAAUUGCAAAGGAGACAGGGAGACGACUUGGCAUGGGAACGAACAUGUACCCCUCUUCAUCGCUGUUGGGUCGUGACAAGGAUGAAUAUGAAGCUCUUCCAGUGGAUGAGCUCAUUGAGAAGGCAGAUGGCUUUGCUGGUGUUUUCCCAGAACACAAAUAUGAGAUUGUGAAAAUCCUACAAGAAAAGAAGCAUGUGGUUGGGAUGACUGGAGAUGGUGUAAAUGAUGCUCCUGCCUUAAAGAAAGCAGAUAUUGGUAUAGCAGUGGCAGAUUCUACAGAUGCUGCAAGAAGUGCUGCAGAUUUGGUGUUAACGGAGCCUGGCUUAAGUGUGAUAGUUAGUGCUGUCUUAACUAGCAGAGCUAUAUUCCAAAGAAUGAAGAACUAUACGAUAUAUGCUGUUUCGAUAACAAUUCGUAUUGUGCUUGGUUUUGUGCUUCUUGCCCUGAUAUGGGAAUAUGACUUCCCUCCUUUCAUGGUUCUGAUCAUAGCAAUACUCAAUGAUGGUACUAUUAUGACUAUUUCUCAAGAUCGGGUUAAGCCAUCUCCAAGGCCUGACAGUUGGAAGCUCCCUGAGAUAUUUGCAACUGGCAUUGUCAUUGGGACAUACCUUGCUUUGGUUACAGUCCUGUUUUACUGGCUUUUGAUUGGCACUAAUUUCUUUGAGAGAACCUUCCAUGUAAGAUCUCUGUCAAGCAAUAGUGAAGAAGUUUCCUCUGCAGUUUAUCUGCAAGUCAGCAUCAUCAGCCAGGCUCUCAUAUUUGUUACACGCAGUCAAAGUUGGUCCUUUAUGGAGAGGCCUGGAGUUCUCUUGAUGUGUGCAUUUGUGGUGGCUCAACUGGUGGCUACCUUAAUUGCUGUAUAUGCACAUAUUAGCUUUGCUUAUAUUAGAGGCAUUGGAUGGGGAUGGGCUGGUGUGAUUUGGUUAUAUAGUUUGAUAUUCUACAUUCCCCUGGAUAUUAUCAAGUUCACAGUUCGUUAUGCCUUGAGCGGAGAAGCAUGGAAUCUCUUAUUUGAUAGAAAGACUGCUUUUACUUCAAAGAAAGAUUACGGAAAGGAAGAUAGAGCAGCUAAGUGGAUUCUGUCCCAGAGGAGUCUGCAAGGUAUGAUGGCUGCAGACCUGGAGUUUAAUGGCAGGCGAUCCCGAUCUUCUUUAAUUGCUGAACAGGCGAGACGGCGCGCUGAAAUAGCCAGGCUUGGGGAGAUUCACACCUUGAGAGGACAUAUGGAGUCAGUAGCAAGGCUGAAGAACCUGGACUUAAAUGUGAUCCAAGCAUCUCAUACAGUUUGAAGCCAUGAUGUGAACAUUGCAUCUUCCAAUUUUCUAGUGAAACUUGGCAGCAGCAGCUGCUCACAUGAUCCAUUCUAAGCAUAAUAUGUCAAAAGAAUUGAAAUUUAUUGUCCAAGAGUCAUUUGGAAUAGUGUUAAUGAUCCAUUCAGAGAUGUCCUGAAAUUUUUUUUUGAGUUCCAGCAGUUAGGACUAAAACUCAAGAGGGUCUCUUCCGUAGAUAGCUGAUGCUAUUUCAGACAGCUUUUGAAAUUCUUCUUCUUGUUUGCAGAUAUUUUCAUGUAAUGAUUUGGUAAAUUCCCAUGUAAUAAAUAUACCUGACACACUGGAAAUUUCACCU